This 497-nucleotide ribosomal RNA is filed under the name uncultured bacterium. Its description in RNAcentral is "partial 16S ribosomal RNA". It matches the Rfam family "Bacterial small subunit ribosomal RNA", at positions 28 to 507 of the family's 1533-position model. The record is from RNAcentral.
GAUGAACGCUGGCGGCGUGCCUAAUACAUGCAAGUCGAGCGAACGGACGAGAAGCUUGCUUCUCUGAUGUUAGCGGCGGACGGGUGAGUAACACGUGGAUAACCUACCUAUAAAACUGGGAUAACUUCGGGAAACCGGAGCUAAUACCGGAUAAUAUUUUGAACCGCAUGGUUCAAAAGUAAAAGACGGUCUUGCUGUCACUUAUAGAUGGAUCCGCGCUGCAUUAGCUAGUUGGUAAGGUAACGGCUUACCAAGGCAACGAUGCAUAGCCGACCUGAGAGGGUGAUCGGCCACACUGGAACUGAGACACGGUCCAGACUCCUACGGGAGGCAGCAGUAGGGAAUCUUCCGCAAUGGGCGAAAGCCUGACGGAGCAACGCCGCGUGAGUGAUGAAGGUCUUCGGAUCGUAAAACUCUGUUAUUAGGGAAGAACAUAUGUGUAAGUAACUGUGCACAUCUUGACGGUACCUAAUCAGAAAGCCACGGCUAACUACGUG